RNAcentral lists this transfer RNA (72 nucleotides) under Pteraster jordani. Its description in RNAcentral is "tRNA-Gln". It matches the Rfam family "tRNA". From Rfam's summary of the family: Transfer RNA (tRNA) molecules are approximately 80 nucleotides in length. Their secondary structure includes four short double-helical elements and three loops (D, anti-codon, and T loops). Further hydrogen bonds mediate the characteristic L-shaped molecular structure. tRNAs have two regions of fundamental functional importance: the anti-codon, which is responsible for specific mRNA codon recognition, and the 3' end, to which the tRNAs corresponding amino acid is attached (by aminoacyl-tRNA synthetases). tRNAs cope with the degeneracy of the genetic code in two manners: having more than one tRNA (with a specific anti-codon) for a particular amino acid; and 'wobble' base-pairing, i.e. permitting non-standard base-pairing at the 3rd anti-codon position. Lineage: Eukaryota; Metazoa; Echinodermata; Asteroidea; Velatida; Pterasteridae. The record is from RNAcentral.
UAGAAAGUAGUAUAAUCAGUAAAACAAAGAAUUUUGAUUUCUUUACUAUAAGUUCAAAUCUUAUCUUUCUAA